CCUACGGGCGGCAGCAGUGGGGAAUAUUGGACAAUGGGCGAAAGCCUGAUCCAGCCAUGCCGCGUGUGUGAAGAAGGCCUUCGGGUUGUAAAGCACUUUCAGUGGGGAAGAAAGCCUUGGGGCUAAUACCCUCGAGGAAGGACAUCACCCACAGAAGAAGCACCGGCUAACUCCGUGCCAGCAGCCGCGGUAAUACGGAGGGUGCGAGCGUUAAUCGGAAUUACUGGGCGUAAAGCGCGCGUAGGCGGUCUGAUAAGCCGGUUGUGAAAGCCCCGGGCCCAACCUGGGAACGGCAUCCGGGACUGUCAGGCUAGAGUGCAGGAGAGGAAGGUAGAAUUCCCGGUGUAGCGGUGAAAUGCGUAGAGAUCGGGAGGAAUACCAGUGGCGAAGGCGGCCUUCUGGACUGACACUGACGCUGAGGUGCGAAAGCGUGGGUAGCAAACAGGAUUAGAUACCCGGGUAGUC
This 465-nucleotide ribosomal RNA is filed under the name Vreelandella stevensii. Its description in RNAcentral is "partial 16S ribosomal RNA". It matches the Rfam family "Bacterial small subunit ribosomal RNA", at positions 338 to 795 of the family's 1533-position model. Lineage: Bacteria; Pseudomonadati; Pseudomonadota; Gammaproteobacteria; Oceanospirillales; Halomonadaceae. The record is from RNAcentral.